GCUCUUAACAUGCUAAAUUUCAUUUCUCAUGGUUGUUGAACUCUCUAAGUAGUGAUGGAACUUCUCUUUGGCAUGUUAGCAAUAUGCCAAUUGGCUUCUAUGGAAAACAUUCAGUGGGGAUAUUAUUUCUAAGAUAAGAAUGAAUUUUAGGUAUGAGAAAAUGAUUUACUGGAUAUCCCUGAAGAGUGGAGAUAGAAUUCCCUCUAUAUUCAUGAUAAUUGUUUGAGAGCUAUUCAUAGCCUGGAAGUGAUGUUUAUGAAAUGUAUCUUAGCAACUUCUCUUGGACAAAGAAAUGGAGUUUUGAAGAAAGUUGUGAUGGACGUUGUCAAUAUUUUCACUAGCAGUGCUUGUCAUGAACUUCUAACCUGAGGGAUGGAUUGAGGUUGUUGUCAGUGUUGCAGCAAGAUACAAAUAAAUAAACAAAUAAAUAAUGUUUAUCAGACUGGAAGCUGAUAUUUUAUCUCUAAAUCCAUUAUGUUCUAACAUUUAUUAGGUUUCCAUGGAGCAUUGUCCAAGUGAGGUAUUCAUUCACAUUUCAGCAGCCAGAUGCUGGGAAAUGGUG
RNAcentral lists this unclassified non-coding RNA (562 nucleotides) under Hevea brasiliensis (rubber tree). The record is from RNAcentral. Lineage: Eukaryota; Viridiplantae; Streptophyta; Magnoliopsida; Malpighiales; Euphorbiaceae.